AUUUCAAGGGACGCUAGAACUUUGGAUAUUUUUCGAGAAUAUUUUUUCUUCAGGCUUUAGAAAAUUAGAAUAGAAUACACCUUAAACCUUCAUACACUAUUCAGAAAAUUCUCUUCAACUCGUUCCUUCUGAGUGAUUUUUCUUUAACAAUCGAUGCAAGUUCUGGGUUGUUUUAGAGAUAUAUUGAUGUAUCCAUCUUCACUCAAAAGCUGAGAAAUAAUAUCUAUGUACACUCGAGAUUGUGGCUGAUAAUGAAGACAAUAAUACUUUUAUUUCAAUUCCAUAUCACAACUGUUAUUCAUUUUUUUGUAGUGUUUUUGGUGUUGUAAUGAAUAUGAACAUGUAUUAAUUAUGGAUUGUCUCAGGACUAUGCCUUUAAUUCGUUUAAGUUCCAGUAUAUUUAAAGAUAGUCUGGUCAAAUUUACUUAGUGUUGUAAUUUGAGCUGUGGUAGAGGUUUAACAACUGAACACGUAAAUACUCUCGAUGAUGAGUACUUCAAA
Nicotiana tabacum (common tobacco) is the source of this 501-nucleotide non-coding RNA. The record is from RefSeq and is a predicted model, not a curated record. NCBI's taxonomy places the organism in Eukaryota, Viridiplantae, Streptophyta, Magnoliopsida, Solanales, Solanaceae.